GGGGGGCUGGUGUGGGCUGGGGACGAGAGGGGAUGGUUCCGACUAGUAGCUCGUCAAGCAUUCGUGGUCGGUAACCAGUAGCUCCGAAAGAGAGGAGGGGUAAGACUUACGGAGUCUUUAACGAGAUUUAAGGAUUUCAAAUUUGAAAAUUUUGCGAAAUCUCAUGCAGGGAUGCAUGCAAAUCGCGCUAAUUUUGCUGGCAUUUCUUCAAGGUCAAAAUGACGUCAGUGAUCAUGACAUUCAAAUGGCCCUAAAUGACGAGAAUGGCUUGAAUUCAAAUUUGAGCCAUGAUUCAAUUGAAGGUGAUGAACCCAUUAUUGAUGAUGAAGCAAUAGCUAUUGCGUUACAGGAAAGGAAAAAAAGACAGCUUACUGAGAAAGGGUCUAUGCAGGGGUUGCAACUUGAUUCAGGUGAGUCACUUUCCCCUGUUAAUUUUUCAACAUCUGACAACUGUCCAACGGUGGUCCUGGUAUCCAGGCUUGCUGAGAGCCAUGAUUUGCUUAAGAUGGAACUGUAGGGAUCUUAACAACCCCUAUGCAAUUCGUGCUCUGAGAGAGCUUAUUAAAUCUAAAAGGCUGGAUAUUAUUUUUCCUUGUGAAACUGUUGUCCAUGCUAAUAAGUUAAGGAAAUAAAAGUUUGCAUUGGGUAUGAUGGGUGUUUUUGCGUUCACCAUAAUGACCGUAGCAGUGGUCUUACAGUUUUAUGGAAAUUAAAUUCUCUAAUCUCAAUUUCUAGUUAUUCUAAUAAUUUUGUUGAUAUGGUUGUUCUAGUGCUAAUAAUGUUGAUUGGCAUCUUGCGG
RNAcentral lists this unclassified non-coding RNA (799 nucleotides) under Hevea brasiliensis (rubber tree). The record is from RNAcentral. Lineage: Eukaryota; Viridiplantae; Streptophyta; Magnoliopsida; Malpighiales; Euphorbiaceae.